RNAcentral lists this ribosomal RNA (587 nucleotides) under uncultured bacterium. Its description in RNAcentral is "partial 16S ribosomal RNA". It matches the Rfam family "Bacterial small subunit ribosomal RNA", at positions 355 to 1375 of the family's 1533-position model. The record is from RNAcentral.
UGGGGAAUUUUGGACAAUGGGCGAAAGCCUGAUCCAGCAAUGCCGCGUGUGUGAAGAAGGCCUUCGGGUUGUAAAGCACUUUUGUCCGGAAAGAAAUCCUUGGCUCUAAUACAGUCGGGGGAUGACGGUACCGGAAGAAUAAGCACCGGCUAACUACGUGCCAGCAGCCGCGGUAAUACGUAGGGUGCAAGCGUUAAUCGGAAUUACUGGGCGUAAAGCGUGCGCAGGCGGUUUGCUAAGACCGAUGUGAAAUCCCCGGGCUCAACCUGGGAACUGCAUUGGUGACUGGCAGGCUAGAGUAUGGCAGAGGGGGGUAGAAUUCCACGUGUAGCAGUGAAAUGCGUAGAGAUGUGGAGGAAUACCGAUGGCGAAGGCAGCCCCCUGGGCCAAUACUGACGCUCAUGCACGAAAGCGUGGGGAGCAAACAGGAUUAGAUACCCUGGUAGUCCACGCCCUAAAACGAUGUCAACUAGUUGUUGGGGAUUCAUUUCCUUAGUAACGUAGCUAACGCGUGAAGUUGACCGCCUGGGGAGUACGGUCGCAAGAUUAAAAACUCAAAUGAAUUGACGGGGUCAUAGCUGUUUCCU